This 466-nucleotide ribosomal RNA is filed under the name uncultured bacterium. RNAcentral's name for it is "partial 16S ribosomal RNA". It matches the Rfam family "Bacterial small subunit ribosomal RNA", at positions 28 to 507 of the family's 1533-position model. The record is from RNAcentral.
GACGAACGCUGGCGGCGCGCCUAACACAUGCAAGUCGAACGAGCGAGAGGAGGUUUACUUUCUCAAGCGAGUGGCGAACGGGUGAGUAACGCGUGAGGAACCUGCCUCAAAGAGGGGGACAACAGUUGGAAACGACUGCUAAUACCGCAUAAGCCCACGACCCGGCCUCGGGUAGAGGGAAAAGGAGCAAUCCGCUUUGAGAUGGCCUCGCGUCCGAUUAGCUAGUUGGUGAGGUAAUGGCCCACCAAGGCCACGAUCGGUAGCCGGACUGAGAGGUUGAACGGCCACAUUGGGACUGAGACACGGCCCAGACUCCUACGGGAGGCAGCAGUGGGGAAUAUUGCACAAUGGGGGAAAUCCUGAUGCAGCGACGCCGCGUGGAGGAAGAAGGUCUUCGGAUUGUAAACUCCUGUUGUUGAGGAAGAUAAUGACGGUACUCAACAAGGAAGUGACGGCUAACUACGUG